Molecule: microRNA, 21 nt
Filed under: Arabidopsis thaliana (thale cress)
Lineage: Eukaryota; Viridiplantae; Streptophyta; Magnoliopsida; Brassicales; Brassicaceae
Description: ath-miR773b-3p
Gene: ath-miR773b-3p
Source: miRBase by way of RNAcentral
UUUGAUUCCAGCUUUUGUCUC